This 151-nucleotide ribosomal RNA is filed under the name uncultured bacterium. RNAcentral's name for it is "partial 16S ribosomal RNA". It matches the Rfam family "Bacterial small subunit ribosomal RNA", at positions 365 to 533 of the family's 1533-position model. The record is from RNAcentral.
AGUAAAUGAACGCAGCUGAUGCAGCCACGCCGCGUGAGUGAUGAAGGCCUUCGGGUUGUAAAGCUCUUUUGUCCGGGACGAAAAUGACGGGACCGGAAGAAUAAGCCCCGGCUAACUCCGUGCCAGCAGCCGCGGUAAUAUACCAUACCAG